Molecule: ribosomal RNA, 253 nt
Filed under: uncultured bacterium
Lineage: Bacteria
Description: partial 16S ribosomal RNA
Rfam family: Bacterial small subunit ribosomal RNA
Source: RNAcentral
UACGGAGGGGGCUAGCGUUGUUCGGAAUUACUGGGCGUAAAGCGUGCGCAGGCGGUUGUGCAAGACAGAGGUGAAAUCCCCGAGCUUAACUUGGGAACUGCCUUUGUGACUGCACGGCUAGAGUGUGUCAGAGGGGGGUAGAAUUCCACGUGUAGCAGUGAAAUGCGUAGAGAUGUGGAGGAAUACCGAUGGCGAAGGCAGCCCCCUGGGAUAACACUGACGCUCAUGCACGAAAGCGUGGGGAGCAAACAGG